UGUGUAGGCGGUUCCCUAAGUUUGGUGUGAAAUCUCCCGGCUCAACUGGGAGGGUGCGCCGAAAACUGGGGGGCUAGAGUGCGGGAGGGGAGAGUGGAAUUCCUGGUGUAGCGGUGAAAUGCGUAGAUAUCAGGAGGAACACCUGUGGUGCAGACGGCUCUCUGGACCGUAACUGACGCUGAGACACGAAAGCGUGGGGAGCAAACAGGAUUAGAUACCCUGGUAGUCCACGCCCUAAACGAUGCAUAUUUGGUGUGGGUCAUUCAUUUGAUCCGUGCCGGAGCUAACGCGUUAAAUAUGCCGCCUGGGGAGUACGGUCGCAAGGCUGAA
Molecule: ribosomal RNA, 330 nt
Filed under: uncultured bacterium
Lineage: Bacteria
Description: bacterial SSU rRNA
Rfam family: Bacterial small subunit ribosomal RNA
Source: RNAcentral